GGUGGUUCUUGGGUGACACACCCCGGAAUCGGGCUCCCUCCUCUCUGGUUCAGGGUGUAUCACCAGAGAACCGCA
This is a non-coding RNA of Myotis brandtii (Brandt's bat), 75 nucleotides long. The record is from Rfam. NCBI's taxonomy places the organism in Eukaryota, Metazoa, Chordata, Mammalia, Chiroptera, Vespertilionidae.